Molecule: ribosomal RNA, 301 nt
Filed under: uncultured bacterium
Lineage: Bacteria
Description: partial 16S ribosomal RNA
Rfam family: Bacterial small subunit ribosomal RNA
Source: RNAcentral
CAGCCGCCGCGGGAAUACGUAGGUGGCAAGCGUUGUCCGGAAUUAUUGGGCGUAAAGCGUGCGUAGGUGGUGGUUUAAGUCCGUUGUGAAAGCCCUGGGCUCAACCUGGGAAUUGCAGUGGAUACUGGAUCACUAGAGUGUGGUAGAGGAUAGUGGAAUUUCCGGUGUAGCAGUGAAAUGCGUAGAUAUUGGGAAGAACACCGGUGGCGAAGGCGGCAACCUGGUCCUUGACUGACGCUGGGGCGCGAAAGCGUGGGGAGCAAACAGGAUUAGAUACCCGUGUAGUCCCUGUCUCUUAUCA